RNAcentral lists this ribosomal RNA (394 nucleotides) under uncultured bacterium. RNAcentral describes it as "bacterial SSU rRNA". It matches the Rfam family "Bacterial small subunit ribosomal RNA", at positions 29 to 408 of the family's 1533-position model. The record is from RNAcentral.
AACGAACGCUGGCGGCGUGCUUAACACAUGCAAGUCGAGCGGGAAAGUUUCCUUCGGGAAGCGAGUACAGCGGCAGACGGGUGAGUACAACGUAGGUAACCUACCCUCGAGACCGGGAUAACCUGUCGAAAGACGGGCUAAUACCGGAUAAGACCACAAGGGCUGCGGCCUUUGAGGUAAAAGAUGGCCUCUGCUUGCAAGCUAUCACUUGGGGAUGGGCCUGCGCGCCAUUAGCUAGNGGUGAGUAACGGCUCACCAAGGCAAAGAUGGCUAGCUGGUCUGAGAGGAUGGCCAGCCACACUGGGACUGAGACACGGCCAGACUCCUACGGAGGCAGCAGUGGGGAAUAUUGCGCAAUGGGCGAAAGCCUGACGCAGCGACGCCGCGUGGGUGA